This 253-nucleotide ribosomal RNA is filed under the name uncultured bacterium. Its description in RNAcentral is "partial 16S ribosomal RNA". It matches the Rfam family "Bacterial small subunit ribosomal RNA", at positions 524 to 776 of the family's 1533-position model. The record is from RNAcentral.
UACGGAGGGUGCAAGCGUUGUUCGGAAUCAUUGGGCGUAAAGCGCGUGUAGGCGGCUUGGCAAGUCGGGUGUGAAAUCCCGGGGCUCAACCCCGGAACUGCAUUCGAAACUGCCUCGCUAGAGUCCCGGAGAGGAAGGCGGAAUUCCCGGUGUAGAGGUGAAAUUCGUAGAUAUCGGGAGGAACACCAGCGGCGAAGGCGGCCUUCUGGACGGUGACUGACGCUGAGACGAGAAAGCGUGGGGAGCAAACAGG